This 253-nucleotide ribosomal RNA is filed under the name uncultured bacterium. RNAcentral describes it as "partial 16S ribosomal RNA". It matches the Rfam family "Bacterial small subunit ribosomal RNA", at positions 524 to 776 of the family's 1533-position model. The record is from RNAcentral.
UACGGAGGGUGCAAGCGUUAUCCGGAUUCACUGGGUUUAAAGGGUGCGUAGGUGGGGUGGUAAGUCAGUGGUGAAAUCUCCAGGCUUAACUUGGAAACUGCCAUUGAUACUAUCAUUCUUGAAUACCGUGGAGGUGAGCGGAAUAUGUCAUGUAGCGGUGAAAUGCUUAGAUAUGACAUAGAACACCAAUUGCGAAGGCAGCUCGUUACACGAAUAUUGACACUCAGGCACGAAAGCGUGGGGAUCAAACAGG